GAUCUUUUCAAACAAGUUCUCAAAUAAGUUUGAAACCAAUCAUUUGUAUACCUAAAGUUCUUUAUGUACUAAAAUGGUUGUUUUUCAGUAAUGUUUAUCUAUAGAAUGGAUCGAACUAUGUGGAUUUCAAAAGUUUGUCUUAUGACCUAUUCCAAAAUGUCACAAAACAGUCGCUUUGGUGCAACUUUUUGCGACGACAGCAGAACACAGUCGACGCUUGCAAGCUUUGUGUAACUGUUUUGUGACUAAAUUGCGACGAUUGUCGAACGUUUUAAAAUUUUGUUAAAUUUAUUAAGUGUUUCUCGAGUAAACAUUGUGCGACCGAAUAGGGACUAACGAGCAUUUUUAUUUGUAAAAUGUUUCAAAAAUGUCACAAAACAGUCGCUAGGUGCAACGUUUUUGCGACGACAACCGAACACAGUCGCACUUUUCAACCAAUUAGAAGGAGAGGAC
This 453-nucleotide ribosomal RNA is filed under the name Arabidopsis thaliana (thale cress). Lineage: Eukaryota; Viridiplantae; Streptophyta; Magnoliopsida; Brassicales; Brassicaceae. The record is from RNAcentral.